AUGCAGCCAGGAGUCGGUCUACUAAUCUUGGCCAUGAUGCCUAUAUACAUGAUCAUUGCCUUGGAUAUCGUCAUAAUUAUUUGCUUUUCUAUCAAUUGCCCAACAGUAAUUUGUUUACCCACCAUAUACUAUUUUCUUGAGAGAAGCCACGCUAGUGAAAUCUAUGGCCACCGGGUCUAUUUUCUAUCAUAUUGUUUUCAGAUCUAUUAUUCCAAAAAAACAAAAUACCUUGUUGCACUUUUUAUUUAUUUGUUUUGUGUUUUUACAAGAUAUAUUUAUCCAAUCUCAUACAAUUUUAUCUAUCUUUUUACCGUGGAGGAAUUGAUAACCCCUCUUACGUGUUGGGUUGCAAGUAUUUGUUCUUUGUGUGCAGGUACCGUUUACAUAGUGUUUCUUGGUUCUCCGACUAGAUUGAUAACCUUGGUUUCAUAA
This 432-nucleotide ribosomal RNA is filed under the name Triticum aestivum (bread wheat). RNAcentral's name for it is "partial small subunit ribosomal RNA". Lineage: Eukaryota; Viridiplantae; Streptophyta; Magnoliopsida; Poales; Poaceae. The record is from RNAcentral.